Humulus lupulus (European hop) is the source of this 513-nucleotide long non-coding RNA. RefSeq lists it as uncharacterized. Lineage: Eukaryota; Viridiplantae; Streptophyta; Magnoliopsida; Rosales; Cannabaceae. The transcript is spliced from 3 exons. The record is from RefSeq and is a predicted model, not a curated record.
CUAAGGCCCUCAACGGGGCAUUCGAAGUUCUGCGAUUUUGGGUUUCUCCCAAACUUUCUGAGCACUUUUUGGCCACCACGAGCUGAACCACCACCACCACCAUACUUCUUGCUUCUUGGGCUUCAAAACCCACUAAAGAAUCAGACUCAAUGGUCACUGGAGUUGGAAGUCAAUGCUCGUCAGAAUCCAUGGAUGUUGUGGACGUCCAUGACAGUUUAGCUGCUGGAGCUGAACAUGGUGAUGCUUCCAGAAAGGAAAGGUCCCCAGUUCAAGAUGUAGAACAGCACACAACAUAAGUGAUAGAAGAGUCUACAGCAACGUCUGAAACUAGAACUGAUGUUGGUGGCAAGGUGUCUGUUAAAGAAGUCAUAGAUACAGUAUGUUUCCAUGCCCCAACUCUAUUUAUAGGAGAUGUAUUAUGAGAUUAUUUAAUUACGAAAUUUCAGCUUGUUGAAAUUACGAUGAAUUUGGGAGAGAAGUUGAAGACUUUGUUGAAAACUAAUAAUGUUAAUA